GCCCUGGUGGUGGAAUUGGUAGAAACAAGGGAUUUAAAAUCCCUCGGCGUUCGCGCUGUGCCGGUUCAAGUCCGGCCCGGGGCACCA
RNAcentral lists this transfer RNA (87 nucleotides) under Vibrio alginolyticus. RNAcentral's name for it is "tRNA-Leu". It matches the Rfam family "tRNA". From Rfam's summary of the family: Transfer RNA (tRNA) molecules are approximately 80 nucleotides in length. Lineage: Bacteria; Pseudomonadati; Pseudomonadota; Gammaproteobacteria; Vibrionales; Vibrionaceae. RNAcentral also lists the same sequence under 2 other names. The record is from RNAcentral.